GACGAACGCUGGCGGCGUGCCUAAUACAUGCAAGUAGAACGCUGAAGAGAGGAGCUUGCUCUUCUUGGAUGAGUUGCGAACGGGUGAGUAACGCGUAGGUAACCUGCCUGGUAGCGGGGGAUAACUAUUGGAAACGAUAGCUAAUACCGCAUAAAAUUGAUUAUUGCAUGAUAAUUAAUUGAAAGAUGCAACUGCAUCACUACCAGAUGGACCUGCGUUGUAUUAGCUAGUUGGGGAGGUAACGGCUCACCAAGGCGACGAUACAUAGCCGACCUGAGAGGGUGGUCGGCCACACUGAGACUGAGACAGGCCACAAACUGCUACGGGAAGGGGCAGUAGGGAAACUUCGGGAAUGAGGGGAACCCUGAGCGGGCAGCGCCGAGUGAGUGAAGAAGGUUGUCGGAUCGUAAAGCUCGGUUGUCAGAGUAGAACGGUUUUGAGAGUGGAAAGUUCACAGUGUGACGGUAUCUGACCAGAAAGCGACGGCUAACUACGUG
This 497-nucleotide ribosomal RNA is filed under the name uncultured bacterium. RNAcentral's name for it is "partial 16S ribosomal RNA". It matches the Rfam family "Bacterial small subunit ribosomal RNA", at positions 28 to 507 of the family's 1533-position model. The record is from RNAcentral.